This 417-nucleotide ribosomal RNA is filed under the name uncultured bacterium. RNAcentral describes it as "bacterial SSU rRNA". It matches the Rfam family "Bacterial small subunit ribosomal RNA", at positions 355 to 786 of the family's 1533-position model. The record is from RNAcentral.
UGGGGAAUAUUGCACAAUGGGGGGAAACCCUGAUGCAGCAACGCCGCGUGAAGGAAGACGGUUUUCGGAUUGUAAACUUCUUUUCUUAGUGAAGAAACAAAUGACGGUAGCUAAGGAAUAAGCAUCGGCUAACUACGUGCCAGCAGCCGCGGUAAUACGUAGGAUGCGAGCGUUAUCCGGAAUUACUGGGUGUAAAGGGAGCGCAGGCGGGACUGCAAGUUGGAUGUGAAAUGCCGCAGCUUAACUGCGGAGCUGCAUCCAAACUGUAGUUCUUGAGUGGAGUAGAGGCAAGCGGAAUUCCGAGUGUAGCGGUGAAAUGCGUAGAUAUUCGGAGGAACACCAGUGGCGAAGGCGGCUUGCUGGGCUCUAACUGACGCUGAGGCUCGAAAGUGUGGGGAGCAAACGGGAUUAGAUACC